GCCCGGGAGCAGACCCAGCUCUCUGCCCUCGGCGGCGCCGCAGCCGAUGCUCUCCCACAUCCAUCCCCUCGCCCCCUGGAACCAGCACUUGUCCCUCACUGCUGCUGUUACUGCCCUCUCUUUCUCCAUUACAUGUGCUCUACUGUCUUCACAAGACCCAGGCAGACCAUAAGGAAGGCAGCUCUGGACCCCUCGGAUAAAUG
Long non-coding RNA from Corapipo altera (White-ruffed manakin), 203 nucleotides. RefSeq lists it as uncharacterized. The record is from RefSeq and is a predicted model, not a curated record. Lineage: Eukaryota; Metazoa; Chordata; Aves; Passeriformes; Pipridae. The transcript is spliced from 3 exons.